UUUUUUUUUUUUUUUUUUGCUUUUUAGGGUCACACCUGCAGCAUAUGGAGCCUUAAAAUAAAUAAACAAAUAAAUAAAUAAAUAAAACAAACAGGAGUCAUCUAACUUCCUCGGUAAAGGGCUCCACAGUAAAUGUUUUAGGCUUCACAGGCCACCUAUCUCUGUCACAAUUGCUCCACUCUGCUAACGUAGCAUGAAAGUGGCCAAGACAACGUGUAAAGGAAUGCAGAUGGCCAGAUUCCAAUAAAACCUCAUUCAUGGACGUUGAGUUUUGAAUUUCAUAUAUUUUAUUCUUUUGAUUUUCUCCCAUCUCUUAAAAAAUGUAAAAACCAUUCUUAGACCAUGCCCCGCCCCCCAAAAAAUGGUGAACUUCUUUGACCUCCAAACCAUCAUUUGCCAACACCUGUGUUUAUAACCAAAAAAGGUGGUAGAACUGAACACAAAUUCCUUGGCGGCUGAGGGAAAACUGGUAACAAACUAGAAAGAGAAGAAAGCUGCCAUAACUUGAGAAAGUUUAUCUACCAGAAAACGACAGCAAAUAUCACUUAAUGAAUGAAACAUAACAAACAUUUCUCACUAAUGUCAGAAAGAAAACAUGAAUGCCUGUCACUAUUUCUAUUCAACAAUAUAUUGACAGUAUAUAUAUCAGAAAGGAGCAGAAGUCACUGUUCUGGUUAUUUGAUCAUUUUCUUAAAAAAAAAAAAAAGAAGAAAAGAAAGAAAAGAAAAAGAAAAAAAAACUAAGAGGCGAGGAGUUCCCUGGUGGCCCAACUGGUUAAAGAUCCAGCUUUAUCACUGCUGUGCUGUGGGUUCAAUCCCUGGCCCCAGAACUUCCACAUGCUGUGGGCAUGGCCAAAAAAAUAAAUAAAUAAAUAAGAGGCCAAAUAUAAAAAUUUAGAAGGUAACCUAACAGAGCUCAAUAUCCAAAAAUUAGUUUCCCUCACAGUAGCAAAAGACAAUUAGACAACAUAAAUAAAAUUCAAUGGUAUCUCUGCAUAGAGAGUAUACACAUGUUGCAUUAUAUUUAUUUUAGAAACUAGGGACUUUUGACCUAUUAUAAAUGCAUCUUUUAAAAUCGUUACCAAUAUAAAGCAUAAUAUAUUAUAAAUGUGAACAAAACUUAAAAGUAAAACUCAGUGAAUUAUCAAACCUUUGAGCAACCCAAUAAUUAGGAAAAAGAAAAAAACAAUGUGCAAGAUACACAUAAACACACACGCACCCCACUCUCCAGCCCCAAACUGAAAGACUAAAAAGACUUAGAGAUGCGAUACAAUUUGAAUCAAAAUUUGAACAGGGUGUGUGUGUGUGUGUGUGUGUGUGUGUGUGUGUGUGUGUGUGUAUUUAACAAUAGGAUUCUAAACUUUCUAAGGAAGCUCAAAGGGCCAAAAACAGCAAGAUACUUCUAAAAAAGAAGAUUACAGAACUUACUUUUCCAGACACCAAGAUUUACUUUAAAGCUAUUUAUAGAAGUAUGACGAUAUAAUACUGGUGCAAAGAGAAACAAGACCAAUAAAACAAAAUACAGAGAAGAAAACCAACAAACAGACCACUGCAGAGCAGUGAGGGAAGGACUGCCUUUCCAAUAAACAGUUCUGGGAAAACAGGAUAUCUGUGUGGAAAGAAUAAAAAUGGACACCUACAGUCCUUGGGAGAUCAUAGACCUAAAUGUGAAAAGCAAAGCAAUAAAGCUUCUCAAAGAAUAUGUCUUGGAAACAGGAUUAAGAUGGCGGAAUAGAAGGACUGGAGCUCAACUUCUCUCCUAAAAGCAACAAAAUUCACAACUAAAGACUGAGCAAUCUCCACCCAAAUGGACCGGAAACCCAUACCCUACUCCAGAAGAAAAAGAGGAGGCCACAUCCACAGGUAGGAGGGGUGAUUUCGUGAUAUAAACAACCCCAUACCUCCCGGGUGGGAAGCUCCACAGACUGAAAACUAACUGGUUCACAGAGACUCACCUACAGGAGUGAGAGUUCUGAGCCCCACAUCAAACCCUCACAUGCGGGGAUCUGGCACUGGGAGAAAGAGCCCCUGGAGCAUCUGGCAUUGAAGGCCAGUGGGGCUUGUGCGCAGGAGCUCCACAGGACUGGGGGAAACGGAGACCCCAUUCUUAAAAGGCGCACACAGACUUUCACGUGCACUAGGUCCCAGGGCAGAGCGAGGUCUCCACAGGAACCUAGGUCAAACCUGACUGCAGUUCUUGGAGGACAUCCUGGGAAAACAGGGGUGAAUGUGGCUUGUUGUGAGGGAAGGACAUUGAAGGCAAAGCUCUCGGGAAUAUUCAGCAGUUGCCUUUCUCUGGAGGUGGCCAUUUUGGGAAAAUCUGGCCCCACCCGUCAGUCAGUGCUGAGAAGCCCCAGGGCAAACAACAAUCCAGGUGGGAUCACAGCCCCGCCCCUCAGUAAACAGGCUACCUAAAGAGCCUCAGGCACACAGCAGCCCCUAAUCCCAUCCAGAGACUAAGCCCCACCCACCAGAGGGAUUAGAAUCAGCUCCACCUACCAGUGGGCAGGCAUCAGCCCCUCCCAUCAGGAAGCCUACAGCAAGCCCCCAUACCGACUUCAGCCACAAGGGGGGCAGACACCAGAAGUAAGAGAGGCUACAUCUCUAUUAUCUGUAAGAAGGUCACCACACCAAAAACCUAUAAAAAUGAAGAGACAGAGAACUAUAACUCAGAUGAGGGAGAAAGGAAAAACCCCAGAAAAUCAGCUAAGCAAUGAGGAGAUUCUCAGCCUCCAGGAAAAAGACUUUAGACUGUCAAUGCUGAAGAAGAAUAUGUCUUAUACUAUCUGUAGUCAAGUGCCACGUUUUUAAAAAUACCUAAAAUCUCAGGGAUCCAUGCUGGGUCCUCCUGCACAUGACUGGUUCGCAGCUUGAGAGGCCCGACUUGCCGCGUUGAGUUCAGUCACACCAGAACUAUCAGCAAGAUGAGUCCUCUACUCACGCACCUGCAUUCCCUGUUACGUCGCAUUACCAUAAAGGUUUCUGAAGUCUUACUCUCAAUUUCUAUACUUAUCUCAUCAGGGACCAGUAAAAAACAGCUUAGAAAUAGUACAGGUCCUUGGACCACAGUUUGGUCAGCAUAGUAGUCAACAGUUCUUAAGACUGUUGAAGGUAAUAUAAGAAAAUAUCCUUAUGACCUCAGGUAGAAUGUUUUCUUAAAAUGAAUUCCAAAGGCACUAAUCAUAAGGGGAAAUACUGGGUAAAUUUUAGUACAUUAAAAUCAGGAACUGCUAAUUAAAAGAUACCAUGAAG
RNAcentral lists this long non-coding RNA (3251 nucleotides) under Sus scrofa (pig). RNAcentral describes it as "lncRNA (ENSSSCG00030064362.1)". Lineage: Eukaryota; Metazoa; Chordata; Mammalia; Artiodactyla; Suidae. The record is from RNAcentral.